GUGAGGAAUAUUGGGCAAUGGGCGCAAGCCUGACCCAGCCAUGCCGCGUGAAGGAUGAAUGCCCUAUGGGUUGUAAACUUCUUUUGUACGGGACGAAACUUUCGGACGUGUCCGAGACUGACAGUACCGUACGAAUAAGCAUCGGCUAACUCCGUGCCAGCAGCCGCGGUAAUACGGAGGAUGCAAGCGUUAUCCGGAUUCAUUGGGUUUAAAGGGUGCGUAGGCGGGAUGAUAAGUCAGUGGUGAAAGCCUGCGGCUUAACCGUAGAAUUGCCAUUGAUACUGCCAUUCUUGAGUACAGUUGAGGUGGGCGGAAUGUGUAAUGUAGCGGUGAAAUGCUUAGAUAUUACACAGAACACCGAUUGCGAAGGCAGCUCACUAAGCUGUUACUGACGCUGAGGCACGAAAGCGUGGGGAGCAAACAGGAUUAGAUACCCUAGUAGUCC
RNAcentral lists this ribosomal RNA (445 nucleotides) under uncultured bacterium. RNAcentral's name for it is "bacterial SSU rRNA". It matches the Rfam family "Bacterial small subunit ribosomal RNA", at positions 354 to 796 of the family's 1533-position model. The record is from RNAcentral.